RNAcentral lists this long non-coding RNA (299 nucleotides) under Capsella rubella. RNAcentral describes it as "long non-coding RNA (CRUB_LNC000845)". The record is from RNAcentral. Lineage: Eukaryota; Viridiplantae; Streptophyta; Magnoliopsida; Brassicales; Brassicaceae.
ACAUUCAAAAGAAAACAUCUCUAUAUCCAUAAUGAAAUAUGUUUAAUUUGUCGAAGUCACUGGAAUUCUAGUGUUUUGAGAUCGUGAACCUCGCGAGAUUAACCUGAAAUUCGUUAGAAAUGAAAUCUCGACUAAUUAGGAAGAACUAAAAAUUUUCUUAUUUUUAUAUUUUAUUUAUUUAAUUAUACUAUUUUCUAUAUAUAUGUAUAUAAUAAACUAGAGAAAUAACCCGCGCUUCGCUGCGGUUCACGGGAAAAAUAUAUAUCGUUUGCUUUGUAUUUUGAAUACGAAUUGAUAUU